CGCCCCUCGGUCCAAAAGUCCGAAGCCGCUUCAAGCUGCUCUCCAAGCGUAGCCGGGCGUCCCCACUCCCAAAGCCCUAAUUUUUCCUCCCCAAACCCCCGUCUUUCCUGAAAUGGGACGGCGGAAGGGCGGAAACAAGAGCCUCGCUCCGGGAGGCAGCCAGAAGUGCAGCUCGAGUAAUUGCCUCCACGACGCGGCCACCGGUACGAGCAUCGCCGGCGGGGAGGAGGUGGACGAGGUGAUCGAGGAGAGGACCGAGAGCUCCAACCUCGAGAACCCGCCCGAAUCCCUAGCCCUAUCCAGCAGCGAUAAAACCAGCGCCGACUAUUACUUUGAUUCCUACUCCCACUUCGGCAUUCAUGAAGAAAUGUUGAAAGACGUUGUCAGGACAAAGACUUAUCAGAAUGUUAUUUAUCAGAACACCUUUCUCUUCAAGAACAAGGUGGUUCUUGAUGUGGGUGCAGGAACAGGAAUUCUUUCUCUUUUCUGUGCGAAAGCAGGAGCAAAACAUGUUUAUGCGAUAGAGUGCUCCCACAUGGCUGACAUGGCAAAAGAAAUUGUUCAAGCAAAUGGAUUUUCUAAUGCCAUAACAGUCUUGAAGGGAAAGGUUGAAGAGAUUGAGCUUCCAGUCACCCAUGUAGAUGUCAUUAUUUCUGAAUGGAUGGGUUAUUUCCUACUCUUUGAGAAUAUGUUGAACACGGUGCUGUAUGCACGUGAUAAAUGGCUCAUUAAUGAUGGAAUUGUGCUACCAGACAAAGCCUCUCUAUAUUUGACAGCAAUUGAGGAUGCUGAAUAUAAGGAAGAUAAGAUUGAAUUCUGGAAUGAUGUAUAUGGCUUUGACAUGAGUUGCAUCAGGAAACAGGCUAUGAUGGAACCGCUUGUUGACACCGUGGACCAAAAUCAAAUGGUCACCAACUGCCAGUUGCUCAAGACUAUGAAUAUUUCAAAAAUGGCUCCAGGAGAUGCAUCUUUCACAGCACCUUUUAAACUUGUGGCAGAACGCAAUGAUUACAUCCAUGCUCUUGUGGCUUACUUUGAUGUCUCAUUCACCAAAUGUCACAAGAUGAUGGGAUUCUCUACAGGGCCAAGAUCAAAAGCUACCCACUGGAAGCAAACUGUCCUGUAUCUUGAAGAUGUUCUGACCAUUUGUGAGGGAGAAGCAUUGGUUGGGAGCAUGACUGUGGAGCCCAACAAGACAAAUCCACGGGAUAUUGAGAUUAUGCUCAAGUAUUCAUUAAAUGGACAACAUUGCCAGGUCUCCAGUACCCAGCAUUAUAAAAUGCGUUAACCUGUGAUCGUCAUUCAUCUGCAAGAGGUCCAAAUGAAGUGAGUAGCUCCAACUCCAGAAGCAGCCACCACAAGAACUGCACUUUAUGGUUUCAGUUCUCACUGCUGAUAAUUGUCAUUUGUGAAUAUUCGGGACCAAAGUAUGACAAUUGGCAGAUAUGAAACUCAGUCAGUGAAAUAGAAGAUGAUUUAGACAAGUUGCAUCUUAUUCAUAUCCUUUCACCCUGAAUUGAAGAAUGGAAUUGUAUGAAAUUAGUUUCUCCCUGUGGUGGCUGCAGUUUUCACAUAAAUGCUAUGCUUAAUCAUUGACAUGCAGGGACAUCUGAUGGCAAGCGAACUUCUUAUUCAUCAGAUUAUAUGCACAGGUUUUGGCUUUUAAAUUUGUUCUUUCUCAUA
Molecule: non-coding RNA, 1683 nt
Organism: Phoenix dactylifera (date palm)
Lineage: Eukaryota; Viridiplantae; Streptophyta; Magnoliopsida; Arecales; Arecaceae
Source: RefSeq, a predicted model, not a curated record